Molecule: small nuclear RNA, 103 nt
Organism: Callithrix jacchus (white-tufted-ear marmoset)
Lineage: Eukaryota; Metazoa; Chordata; Mammalia; Primates; Cebidae
Source: Ensembl
GUGCUAACUUUGUCAGCACAUAUACUAAAAUUAGAAUGAUAGGGAGAUUAGCACGGCACCUGUGCAAGGAUACAUAAAAUUUUGUGAAGCAUACCAUAUUUUU